Hebeloma cylindrosporum is the source of this 73-nucleotide transfer RNA. It matches the Rfam family "tRNA". Rfam says of the family: Transfer RNA (tRNA) molecules are approximately 80 nucleotides in length. Their secondary structure includes four short double-helical elements and three loops (D, anti-codon, and T loops). Lineage: Eukaryota; Fungi; Basidiomycota; Agaricomycetes; Agaricales; Hymenogastraceae. The record is from Rfam.
GACUCAGUAGCUCAACGGUUAGAGCACUGAUGUAUAUAGUCAGAGGUCGUUGGUUCGAUUCCAGCCCUUGUCA